GACGAACGCUGGCGGCGUGCCUAAUACAUGCAAGUUGAGCGCUGAAGGUUGGUACUUGUACCAACUGGAUGAGCAGCGAACGGGUGAGUAACGCGUGGGGAAUCUGCCUUUGAGCGGGGGACAACAUUUGGAAACGAAUGCUAAUACCGCAUAAAAACUUUAAACACAAGUUUUAAGUUUGAAAGAUGCAAUUGCAUCACUCAAAGAUGAUCCCGCGUUGUAUUAGCUAGUUGGUGAGGUAAAGGCUCACCAAGGCGAUGAUACAUAGCCGACCUGAGAGGGUGAUCGGCCACAUUGGGACUGAGACACGGCCCAAACUCCUACGGGAGGCAGCAGUAGGGAAUCUUCGGCAAUGGACGAAAGUCUGACCGAGCAACGCCGCGUGAGUGAAGAAGGUUUUCGGAUCGUAAAACUCUGUUGGUAGAGAAGAACGUUGGUGAGAGUGGAAAGCUCAUCAAGUGACGGUAACUACCCAGAAAGGGACGGCUAACUAC
RNAcentral lists this ribosomal RNA (494 nucleotides) under uncultured bacterium. RNAcentral describes it as "partial 16S ribosomal RNA". It matches the Rfam family "Bacterial small subunit ribosomal RNA", at positions 28 to 504 of the family's 1533-position model. The record is from RNAcentral.